UGGCCCCUUUCGUCAGCAAUGGCGAUCGAAAACCUCUUUAAUUCAUGGGAACUCCUACAAGGACAAUCAUGAGCGAAGCUAGACUAAAGUCUUGAACGUGCAACGACUAGCCGAAAGGCGUAGGCUGCAAGCUAUUGGCAGUCGAAACAGGAGGCAUCCUGAAAGGAUGAAGAUAUAGUCUAACCUUCAUGGCAACAUGAAG
Molecule: non-coding RNA, 202 nt
Filed under: Bacillus velezensis UCMB5033
Lineage: Bacteria; Bacillati; Bacillota; Bacilli; Caryophanales; Bacillaceae
Description: Intron_gpI
Rfam family: Group I catalytic intron
About the family: Group I catalytic introns are large self-splicing ribozymes. They catalyse their own excision from mRNA, tRNA and rRNA precursors in a wide range of organisms.
Source: RNAcentral